CGAACGGGUGAGUAACGCGUGGGUAACCUACCUCUUAGCGGGGGACAACUAUUGGAAACGAUAGCUAAUACCGCAUAACAAUACCUAACACAUGUUAAGUAUUUGAAAGCACCAAUUGGUGCACUAAGAGAUGGACCCGCGUUGUAUUAGCUAGUUGGUAGUGUAAUGGACUACCAAGGCGAUGAUACAUAGCCGACCUGAGAGGGUGAUCGGCCACAUUGGGACUGAGACACGGCCCAAACUCCUACGGGAGGCAGCAG
RNAcentral lists this ribosomal RNA (260 nucleotides) under uncultured bacterium. Its description in RNAcentral is "partial 16S ribosomal RNA". It matches the Rfam family "Bacterial small subunit ribosomal RNA", at positions 99 to 354 of the family's 1533-position model. The record is from RNAcentral.